RNAcentral lists this ribosomal RNA (594 nucleotides) under Triticum aestivum (bread wheat). RNAcentral describes it as "partial small subunit ribosomal RNA". Lineage: Eukaryota; Viridiplantae; Streptophyta; Magnoliopsida; Poales; Poaceae. The record is from RNAcentral.
AUGAGAGGGAGAGAGACAAGGAAGGAGCGGAGGGAGAAAGAGAGAGGAAAGAGUAGCCGGAGGUGCGUCGGCCGGCGUCGGCGUGCACGCUGGCGAGGUUGGGCGGGACCUGGCGGUUGGCGGCGGCUCGAUCCACUCCUAGAUCGGGAGCCGAGCCUGCGCCUCCGCCACUUCCCCUUGUUUCUCUCUCCACCGCCACCUCUCCUCACCUCUCCUUCCAAUGUCGGCCGCCGCCGGCCUCCCCAUACCUCCCCCUCAUGGCUCCUCUCUUCAUCACCGGCGCCAUGGCUGUGCUCGGAGGAGGACCGCCGAUGCCAGGUUGACGAGGAUGAUGAGGUAACUGUUGGCGAGGGCAAAGCGAAGUCGUCAGAUUCGUCACCGCCGCUAUUCUCCUACUCGCCGCCGCCGCUGUUCUCCUACUCGCCGGCGCCGCCGCUGUCAUCCACAUGCUCCUCCUCACGACCACAGGUGGAAGUUGGCUGGGGUCUAGCCUCCCAUCCAUACGCAGAUUAUGCAAGUAUAUGCUUGGUCUGCAUAUUAGUACCGGCUAGCAAGCACAGGAACGACGACUUGGACCUGGCGACUUGGAUCUAA